Molecule: ribosomal RNA, 497 nt
Filed under: uncultured bacterium
Lineage: Bacteria
Description: partial 16S ribosomal RNA
Rfam family: Bacterial small subunit ribosomal RNA
Source: RNAcentral
GAUGAACGCUGGCGGCGUGCCUAAUACAUGCCAGUCGAGCGAACAGACGAGGAGCUUGCUCCUCUGACGUUAGCGGCGGACGGGUGAGUAACACGUGGAUAACCUACCUAUAAGACUGGGAUAACUUCGGGAAACCGGAGCUAAUACCGGAUAAUAUAUUGAACCGCAUGGUUCAAUAGUGAAAGACGGUUUUGCUGUCACUUAUAGAUGGAUCCGCGCCGCAUUAGCUAGUUGGUAAGGUAACGGCUUACCAAGGCAACGAUGCGUAGCCGACCUGAGAGGGUGAUCGGCCACACUGGAACUGAGACACGGUCCAGACUCCUACGGGAGGCAGCAGUAGGGAAUCUUCCGCAACGGGCGAAAGCCUGACGGAGCAACGCCGCGUGAGCGAUGAAGGUCUUCGGAUCGUAAAACUCUGUUAUUAGGGAAGAACAAAUGUGUAAGUAACUAUGCACGUCUUGACGGUACCUAAUCAGAAAGCCACGGCUAACUACGUG